CGGUCGCAUCACAUUUUAACACCGGUUCCGGUUCGGUAACCGAAGUUAAGCAACGCCGAGCCUGGUCAGUACCUAGAUGGGAGACCGCUUGGAAAUACCAAUUGCAGU
Acanthosepion pharaonis is the source of this 108-nucleotide non-coding RNA. Lineage: Eukaryota; Metazoa; Mollusca; Cephalopoda; Sepiida; Sepiidae. The record is from the annotation of a GenBank genome assembly.